Molecule: long non-coding RNA, 1055 nt
Filed under: Citrus x clementina
Lineage: Eukaryota; Viridiplantae; Streptophyta; Magnoliopsida; Sapindales; Rutaceae
Description: Citrus clementina (C. clementina) long non-coding RNA (CCLE_LNC002487)
Source: RNAcentral
AAGGUGUUGCCAGAUGACCUUCUUCAAACGUCGACACUGCAGGAAUUGAGUAUUGGGGGAUGUCCUAUUCUAGAAGACUGGCAUAAGAUAUCUCACAUUCCCCACAUCGAGUUUUAAAUUCUCGAACGGUUGCAAUUACUAUAACCCGCCGGUAAUUUCUCCUCCUCCUCUGUUUUGCUUCAUUGUUACUUGUAAUGAAAUUAAUAAUAAUAAUGAUAAUAAUUAAAUUUUGAAUUAAAUUUCUAUAUUUUGCCAAUGUCUCAUAGGAAUGUGCAAUAUUUUCUAAUAUUUUGAUUUUUGUAUUGAAUAUAACUAUUUACUUCAGUGUACGAUAAUUUGUUACGUGAAACUUCUUGAGAGACUGAAUUUCUGGGGUACUUUGUAGUAAUGUUGAAAACUAAGUGAUGGCUGGGUCUGCUCUGUUUCAGUUGAGGAUGGAUUGCUGCCUGGAAGACAUGCUGAUUAUUAUUGCAUGAUAUUAAGGUGCUGAGAUCAUCAUUUCUAUCUUGUUUCUUUCUUUGAACGGUUUAUCCUCUAUAAGCAUAUGGAAUUAUGUUAGUAUUAUCACUUCUUCACCCAAUUUUCACUGUUGGUUGUAAUAACCAUUUCAGGUUCUCAAAAGCUACAAAGCAAAGCAUCUUUGGGCUGAUCAUAUAUUUCAAUUGACGAAGGAAUUCGAUGUUGGCACUAUUAUGCAGGUAACCAGAGUUGAUAAUUUGUACAAAUUUGCAUUGUCAGAAUACCCUUCAUAUUCACCGUGUUUCUUUGUGUAGGUAUGUAGAGUAUCAUCUUCAAGGGUUGUAAGAGCCUUUGCAGUAAAUUUAGCUGCUAGUGCAAUUGCUCAUUCAUCGAAGUACAAUUUUGGAUUUUCAAGGUUUGUAUGCUCAGUUGUAAUUAAAAUGCUUAGUCACUUAUUCCUAAUCUUUCUGAUUUUCAAGUUAUUUUAGGUCCAUAAACAGUUUUCACACAUGUUUCAAUGCUUCUUGUAAUGACAAUUUCAUAUCUUGCAUCUCUAAUGUGCAUCAUGUUUGAAACAGCUUUCGCGGUAAAGUCUU